RNAcentral lists this ribosomal RNA (428 nucleotides) under uncultured prokaryote. Its description in RNAcentral is "bacterial SSU rRNA". It matches the Rfam family "Bacterial small subunit ribosomal RNA", at positions 355 to 776 of the family's 1533-position model. The record is from RNAcentral. RNAcentral also lists the same sequence under 1 other name.
UGAGGAAUAUUGCGCAAUGGGCGAAAGCCUGACGCAGCGACGCCGCGUGAGUGAUGAAGGCCUUCGGGUUGUAAAGCGCUGUGGGGCGAGACGAAUAAGUGCAGACUAAUACGUUGCAUGAGGACGGUAUCGCCUUAGCAAGCACCGGCUCACUCUGUGCCAGCAGCCGCGGUAAGACAGAGGGUGCAAACGUUGUUCGGAAUUACUGGGCGUAAAGCGAGUGUAGGCGGUUUGCUAAGUCGGAUGUGAAAGCCCCGGGCUCAACCCGGGAAGUGCAUUCGAAACUGGCAGGCUAGAGUAUCGGAGAGGUUGGUGGAAUUCUCGGUGUAGAGGUGAAAUUCGUAGAUAUCGAGAGGAACACCGGUGGCGAAGGCGGCCAACUGGACGAAUACUGACGCUGAGACUCGAAAGCGUGGGGAGCAAACAGG